AUUGAACGCUGGCGGCAGGCCUAACACAUGCAAGUCGAACGGUAACAGGGAUCAGCUUGCUGAUUCGCUGACGAGUGGCGGACGGGUGAGUAAUGUCUGGGAAACUGCCUGAUGGAGGGGGAUAACUACUGGAAACGGUAGCUAAUACCGCAUAACGUCGCAAGACCAAAGAGGGGGACCUUCGGGCCUCUUGCCAUCGGAUGUGCCCAGAUGGGAUUAGCUAGUAGGUGGGGUAACGGCUCACCUAGGCGACGAUCCCUAGCUGGUCUGAGAGGAUGACCAGCCACACUGGACUGAGACACGGUCCAGACUCCUACGGGAGGCAGCAGUGGGGAAUAUUGCACAAUGGGCGCAAGCCUGAUGCAGCCAUGCCGCGUGUAUGAAGAAGGCCUUCGGGUUGUAAAGUACUUUCAGCGGGGAGGAAGGGAGUAAAGUUAAUACCUUUGCUCAUUGACGUUACCCGCAGAAGAAGCACCGGCUAACUCCGUG
RNAcentral lists this ribosomal RNA (489 nucleotides) under uncultured bacterium. RNAcentral describes it as "partial 16S ribosomal RNA". It matches the Rfam family "Bacterial small subunit ribosomal RNA", at positions 30 to 507 of the family's 1533-position model. The record is from RNAcentral.